RNAcentral lists this ribosomal RNA (253 nucleotides) under uncultured bacterium. RNAcentral's name for it is "partial 16S ribosomal RNA". It matches the Rfam family "Bacterial small subunit ribosomal RNA", at positions 524 to 776 of the family's 1533-position model. The record is from RNAcentral.
UACGAAGGGGGCUAGCGUUGCUCGGAAUUACUGGGCGUAAAGGGCGCGUAGGCGGACAGUUAAGUCAGAGGUGAAAUCCCAGGGCUCAACCCUGGAAUUGCCUUUGAGACUGGACUGCUAGAAUCUUGGAGAGGUGAGUGGAAUUCCGAGUGUAGAGGUGAAAUUCGUAGAUAUUCGGAAGAACACCAGUGGCGAAGGCGGCUCACUGGACAAGUAUUGACGCUGAGGUGCGAAAGCGUGGGGAGCAAACAGG